RNAcentral lists this ribosomal RNA (253 nucleotides) under uncultured bacterium. Its description in RNAcentral is "partial 16S ribosomal RNA". It matches the Rfam family "Bacterial small subunit ribosomal RNA", at positions 524 to 776 of the family's 1533-position model. The record is from RNAcentral.
UACGUAGGUGGCGAACGUUGUCCGGAUUUACUGGGCGUAAAGCGCGCGCAGGCGGACCGAUAAGUCAGAGGUGAAAUCUCCCGGCUCAACUGGGAGGGGCCCUUUGAUACUGUCGGUCUUGAGAUGCCUAGAGGAGAGUGGAAUUCCCGGUGUAGUGGUGGAAUGCGUAGAUAUCGGGAGGAACACCAGAGGCGAAGGCGGGUUACUGGGCUGAUACUGACGCUGAUGCGCGAAAGCCAGGGGAGCAAACGGG